UGUGCAUUUGUCUGGCUUGUGUACAGGUAGAGGCCUUUUGACGAGCUGAUCACCCUCCCAAGGAGUCCUAGCGAAUGUGUAAGAUCUAGGAAAAUCGAAGUUAAAGGAGAAGUUGAUGGGGGUAGUCCUAGGCCCUCUGCGGCUGUAGUGGGAACGAAAAAUAUGAUGCCAUAUUCUGGAGACUAAGAUAUCGUGGGAAGCUGCUGAUGUUGGUAGCCUUGUGUCACCAUCAAUAGAAGUUAGCGGCAAUGUGACAAGUCAGACUGAAUGAGCUGGGAAACGUCAAUGGAAUGUUGUAAAAAGUGUUGUUGAGAAUUGAUCAGCUGCUGGGUAUGUUACAGAGACAUAAUGGGCCCUCGUGUCGGUGAAAAUUAUACCGCCACACCAUACCAACAUUUACAAGGUGACGUACAUGAGGAAUGCCUUCUGCGUGAGUUAUCUUAGUAGUUGUGUGCACGUGUUUCAUGUUGAAUUUUUGGUAACAUUUCUUAGUUAUGUCAUCGGUUUCUUCCUUCGAGCGAGAGUCGCCUGAUGAUUCUCAGAUAUCUGCAUGUGCUUGCCUUAGUCUCGAUGCCUGCCUGCGUGCUUAUUGUUCAGUAUGUAUUAACCUGCUUUUUUAUUCUUCCUUCUGGUUUUCCUGCCUGCCUCAGCCCACCUUCUACCUGGCAUUGUUCUUAACUAGAAUGCAUGUGGCUUCAAUUGGCAUGAGGAAGAAGGAGAGACACAGUAUUGACUUAACAUGAAUUCUUUCAAUGAAUGAGGUGACAUAUAAAAAUAUGUGAUCAUAUUUAGUCAAGUUAUAAUGGGAAUUGAGACACUGUAUAGUUGAUUGAAUUACAUAUUUAAGUUUAACUGUUCUCUGUUAUAAUUAAGAUAAUUAAGUAUUUGUAAUUAUGAUGUCCUAGUGGGGCUUCAUCAUAUAUUUCUAGGAAGUGAGAGGCUGAUUUUUUUCUUCAGGUAAAAUUUUGGAGAAUUAGAAAACCUGGAAGGAGUUUGCUGCUGUGGGUGCUUUGCGACACCAUGUUAUGAACUGAGUUGCAAUGAAACAGAUCUGGCAAUGAACAUGCAAAAGCUUCAGUGAUGUGUCGUGUUGUAGAGAUUUGAUGAGAAUGGAUCUAGUACUGGUGAAGUUGCAUAGCACAAGUGUGUCUUAAUGACAGUGGAAAUGGGACCGCCACACCAUACCAUGAAUGUGGGGUAAGUUGUACAGCAGGAGAGUGCUUAAUAGGAGUUAUAUUGGUUGUUCUCUGCUUUUAGACUUAUUUUUCAGGUAUUAAAUUUUGGGUUUUUGAUGCAUGUGGUUGUUGUGAAGAUGGGUUUUUCUUCAAGUGAAUACUUGCCUGUCUGUUUCAGCCUGCGUGUUGCUUCCUCUUUGAGCCUGCAUGAUUGCCUUCCAACUUUGCCAUCCAUACAAGUGGCAUUAUUCUUACAUAGUAGAGGCCUUUUGACGAGCUGAUCACCCUCCCAAGGAGUCCUAGCGAAUGUGUAAGAUCUAGGAAAAUCGAAGUUAAAGAAGAAGUUGAUGGGGGUAGUCCUAGGCCCUCUGCGGCUGUAGUGGGAUCGAAAAAUA
Cryptotermes secundus is the source of this 1570-nucleotide long non-coding RNA. RefSeq lists it as uncharacterized. Lineage: Eukaryota; Metazoa; Arthropoda; Insecta; Blattodea; Kalotermitidae. The transcript has 3 exons. The record is from RefSeq and is a predicted model, not a curated record.